CUGGCUCAGGACGAACGCUGGCGGCGUGCCUAACACAUGCAAGUCGAACGGAGUCAAGAAGCUUGCUUUUGACUUAGUGGCGGACGGGUGAGUAACGCGUGAGUAACCUGCCUCUGAGAGGGGAAUAACGUUCUGAAAAGAACGCUAAUACCGCAUAACGUAUUGAAGCCGCAUGACUUUGAUACCAAAGAUUUUAUCGCUCGGAGAUGGACUCGCGUCCGAUUAGUUAGUUGGUGAGGUAACGGCUCACCAAGACCGCGAUCGGUAGCCGGACUGAGAGGUUGAUCGGCCACAUUGGGACUGAGACACGGCCCAGACUCCUACGGGAGGCAGCAGUGGGGGAUAUUGCGCAAUGGGGGCAACCCUGACGCCAGCAACGCCGCGUGAAGGAUGAAGGUUUUCGGAUUGUAAACUUCUUUUAUCAGGGACGAAAUCUGACGGUACCUGAUGAAUAAGCUCCGGCUAACUACGUGCCAGCAGCCGC
This 484-nucleotide ribosomal RNA is filed under the name uncultured bacterium. RNAcentral describes it as "bacterial SSU rRNA". It matches the Rfam family "Bacterial small subunit ribosomal RNA", at positions 19 to 518 of the family's 1533-position model. The record is from RNAcentral.